This is a small nuclear RNA of 113 nucleotides. Its record names the gene U5. It matches the Rfam family "U5 spliceosomal RNA". Rfam says of the family: U5 RNA is a component of both types of known spliceosome. The precise function of this molecule is unknown, though it is known that the 5' loop is required for splice site selection and p220 binding, and that both the 3' stem-loop and the Sm site are important for Sm protein binding and cap methylation. The record is from Ensembl.
UGCUCUUAUUUCUCUUCACAUCGUAUAAAUCUUUCGCCUUUUACUAAAGAUUUCCGUGGAGAGGAACAGAAAGAGUUUCGUCCAAUUUUUUGAUGCCCGACGUCAGUCGGGUU